UACAGAGACUGCAAGCGUUACUCGGAUUCACUGGGCGUAAAGGGAGCGCAGGCGGACUCAUGUGUCGGACGUGAAAUACCGGGGCUUAACCCCGGUGCUGCGUCCGAAACUAUGAGUCUAGAGACUUGGAGGGGUAAGCGGAAUUCUUGGUGGAGCAGUGAAAUGCGUAGAUAUCAAGAGGAACACCAACGGCGAAGGCAGCUUACUGGACAAGAUCUGACGCUCAGGCUCGAAAGCGUGGGGAGCAAAAGGG
This 253-nucleotide ribosomal RNA is filed under the name uncultured bacterium. RNAcentral describes it as "partial 16S ribosomal RNA". It matches the Rfam family "Bacterial small subunit ribosomal RNA", at positions 524 to 776 of the family's 1533-position model. The record is from RNAcentral.